This 375-nucleotide ribosomal RNA is filed under the name uncultured bacterium. Its description in RNAcentral is "bacterial SSU rRNA". It matches the Rfam family "Bacterial small subunit ribosomal RNA", at positions 28 to 404 of the family's 1533-position model. The record is from RNAcentral.
GACGAACGCUGGCGGCGUGCUUAACACAUGCAAGUCGAGCGGUAAGGCCCUUUCGGGGGUACACGAGCGGCGAACGGGUGAGUAACACGUGGGUGACCUGCCCUUAGCUCUGGGAUAAGCCUGGGAAACUGGGUCUAAUACCGGAUAUGACCUCAUGACGCAUGUUGUGGGGUGGAAAGCCUUGUGCGGCUAGGGAUGGGCCCGCGGCCUAUCAGCUUGUUGGUGGGGUGAUGGCCUACCAAGGCGACGACGGGUAGCCGGCCUGAGAGGGCGACCGGCCACACUGGGACUGAGACACGGCCCAGACUCCUACGGGAGGCAGCAGUGGGGAAUCUUGCGCAAUGGGCGAAAGCCUGACGCAGCGACGCCGCGUGA